AUGAGCUACUGCCAAGCUACAACGUACAAGCCUCUUGGUGGGCUCACUUUGGACAGACCAUUAGGCCUUGGGAGAACUUGCAGAAUACUUCCUCAACAUCAUUCUGUAUGGCAACAUUUUUCUAGAUCUUGCAAGCUGCAAGAGAAAGUAUAUCCAAGGCUUGUUGUUGCUGCUUGCCAUAAGAGGCUUGGUCCUGUAUAUGCCUCAAGUGGGAAGGGAAACCUUGAUCCAUUCUCUAUGGAAUCUUUGAACAAAGCAAUGGAUGGAGCAAAAAAGCAACAGUCUAUACAAGGCUUCCUGAUGGAGCAAAUGGCUAAGAUUACAGGACAGGGGUCUGGUGGAAAUGGAGGGAAUAAUAACCGUUAUGGAGGCAGCGGUGGUGGUCCUGAUGGCCCAGAUGACGAAUCUUUCACGGAUUCAUUGUAUGAAGUGGUCCAAGUUGUGUUAGCAACUGUUGCUUUUGUACUCACGUAUAUCCACAUCAUCAGAGGAGAGGAGUUGUACCGCCUUGCAAGGGACUACACCAGAUAUGUCGUCACUGGCAAGAGAACGUCCCGGCUGAAGCGUGCCAUGCUUAACUGGCGUGAUUUCUCAGAUAGCAUCACAAAGAAUUUCAGCACACAAGACGAUGUGUAUCGAAGCCCGGUCGCUUCUGAAGCCCCAGAAGCUGGUUCAUCAUCUCGGUGA
Molecule: ribosomal RNA, 687 nt
Filed under: Triticum aestivum (bread wheat)
Lineage: Eukaryota; Viridiplantae; Streptophyta; Magnoliopsida; Poales; Poaceae
Description: partial small subunit ribosomal RNA
Source: RNAcentral